This 29-nucleotide small RNA is filed under the name Bombyx mori (domestic silkworm). RNAcentral's name for it is "ovarian small RNA-31041". Lineage: Eukaryota; Metazoa; Arthropoda; Insecta; Lepidoptera; Bombycidae. The record is from RNAcentral.
UGAAGUUUGGCCAAGCUCCUCUAGCAACC